RNAcentral lists this ribosomal RNA (1461 nucleotides) under Triticum aestivum (bread wheat). Its description in RNAcentral is "partial small subunit ribosomal RNA". Lineage: Eukaryota; Viridiplantae; Streptophyta; Magnoliopsida; Poales; Poaceae. The record is from RNAcentral.
AUGGGGCACGGGGUGAGCUGCGCGCGCACCGGCGACGAGCACGACUUCUUCCGCGCGGCGCAGCUCGGGGACCUCGACGCCCUGGGCGCGCUCCUCGCCGCCGACGCCUCCCUCGCCCGCCGCGCCACCCUCUACGACCGCCUCUCCCCGCUCCACAUCGCCGCCGCCAAUGGCCGCCUCGAGGUCCGUCCGUCGAGCGUCCGACGGCAGCUCCCCCCCACCAGCCGCAGCCAUGGAUCAUUGGAUCCCCUUGAAUUUCUACUGUUCUCUGAGCUUUCUUCCUCCUCGCAGGCGCUCUCCAUGUUCCUGGAUCGCGGGGCGCAGCCGGACGCCGUGGAUCGGCACAAGCAGACCCCCCUGAUGCUCGCCGCCAUGCACGGCAAGAUCGGCUGCGUGCUCAAGCUCCUCCAGGCCGGCGCAAACAUCUUGAUGUUCGACUCGGUGCACGCGCGGACCUGCCUCCACCACGCGGCCUACUACGGCCACGUCGACUGCCUGGACGCCAUCCUCUCCACGGCGCGGACCACGCCGGUGGCCGGCUCAUGGGGGUUCGCCCGGUUCGUCAACGUCAGGGACGACCACGGCGCCACGCCGCUGCACCUCGCCGCCAGGCAGGGCCGGCCGGGCUGCGUGCAGGUGCUGCUGGAGAACGGCGCCAUCGUGUCGGCAUUGACCGGAUCAUACGGCUUCCCUGGUAGCACGUCGCUGCAUUUGGCCGCUCGCAGCGGGGACUUGGAUUGCAUCCGGAAGCUGCUUGCCUGGGGAGCUGAUCGGCUCCAAAGGGACUCUGCCGGGAGAAUCCCCUAUGUGGUGGCACAUAAGCGCAACCACGGGGCAUGCGCGGCAUUGCUGAACCCUUCGUCGGCAGAGCCUAUGGUGUGGCCUUCCCCGCUCAAGUUCAUCAGCGAGCUCGACCCGGAAGCCAAGGCUCUGCUGGAAGCGGCCCUGAUGGAAGCCAACAGGGAGAGGGAGAAGAAGAUCCUGAAGGACGCAAAGUGCUCGCCGCAGUCCCCUUUGGUGUACGAUGAUGAUCACAUCGACGACGACAUGUUCUCGGAGGUGAGCGACACGGAGCUGUGCUGCAUCUGCUUCGACCAGGCGUGCACCAUCGAGGUGCAGGACUGCGGGCACCAGAUGUGCGCGCCCUGCACGCUGGCGCUGUGCUGCCACAACAAGCCCAACCCGGCGACCCUGACAAUGCCCUCGCCGGCCUGCCCGUUCUGCCGCGGCAGCAUCUCACGGCUGGUGGUGGCCCGUGCACAGACAGCAGACGGCGGCGACCCCGACAGGCCAGCCUCCCCGCAGCUCGCGCACCGGCGGUCCCGGCGCUCCCACAACCUCAGUGAGGGCAGCAGCAGCUUCAAGGGGCUGUCCUCGGCCAUCUCCAAGAUCGCCCGCGGCUCGAGCCGGAUGGCCGAGAGCGACAGCGCUGCCAUGGACAAGCCCGAGCACGAUCCGUGA